AAAGGACAUGGAACUUUGAAGAUGAAAAUGGAGACGUGGAACAAGAGAUUAGGGUUUAGGAUGGGAUGGACUUGGUUAGUUGACUUUGCUCAACUGGUUGACCAAAAAGUCAACAAUUGACCAAAAGUCAACUUAGGUGGAAAAGUCAACUUUUUUUGUGUAAUGAUUUAUGUAUGGACAUUUGUGAUGUAAUUUUAUGAAUGAAGUGAUAUUUUG
Molecule: long non-coding RNA, 216 nt
Filed under: Lathyrus oleraceus (garden pea)
Lineage: Eukaryota; Viridiplantae; Streptophyta; Magnoliopsida; Fabales; Fabaceae
Description: Pisum sativum (pea) long non-coding RNA (PSAT_LNC031367)
Source: RNAcentral